GACUCUGGCUACGAGGCGCGUGUGUGCAAUAUCAGGUUUCCGCAUCGACUUGCAUAGUGAUUCGAGG
Long non-coding RNA from Drosophila melanogaster (fruit fly), 67 nucleotides. It matches the Rfam family "Yellow-achaete intergenic RNA conserved region 3". Lineage: Eukaryota; Metazoa; Arthropoda; Insecta; Diptera; Drosophilidae. The record is from Rfam.